Long non-coding RNA from Pezoporus occidentalis (night parrot), 1222 nucleotides. RefSeq lists it as uncharacterized. The record is from RefSeq and is a predicted model, not a curated record. NCBI's taxonomy places the organism in Eukaryota, Metazoa, Chordata, Aves, Psittaciformes, Psittacidae. The transcript has 4 exons.
GUCGGUUCCGUUCGGUCACGGCUCCCGGGCUGCCCCCACCCGCCCGCGGUGUCCGGUAUGGCCCGUGGAGCUCCGGGGACCGGGGCACUCGGGGUGUUCCCAUAGGGAUGGCUCCCGGUACAUACCGGGAGCAGGAGGGAGCCUGGAGAUGGUGGAGGCGCAGCUUCAAUCCCGUCGAAUUCCCGGUCCUGGGAAGCUGUGAGAGCAUCAAUGAGGAAUUUCAGUCCCUGCAGGCUCAAUGCAACGGAGUUAUCAAUCCCGUCAUCGCGGGCUCGCUGCCAGGGAAAUUAGUUUGGAGCAGUGCCUGACAAAGUGCCAAGUCAACUGCCAUGUUCCUCCAGCUGGCUCAGCCCCUCCGAGCUUGCUCCUUUUGUUAACGGCGAGAGAGGCCCCGGAGCCCCGACAGCUCUUUCCUGCCAUCCCUACGCGCUCCCGGCUCCGCUGGGGCUGGGACCCGGCGCUGGGCUUGGGAUCCAGGGCUGGCACCGCACCCAGGACUGGGAUCCAGGGAUAUCCCAAGCCGUGCGGAGCCAGGACUCUGCCCACGAGGUGAGAAGUGCUUGAGGAGGCAGGGAUUGCCAAGAGGCCGAGCGCCAUCUGCACCCAGGUGGCUCCUGCCCCUCUGGGGACACUGGACACAAAAGGGGACGUGGAUGGGGACAACCGAGAGAUCAGAUGCCUGAAGCCAAGGGAAGAUGCUGCUUCGAGCCCCUGUGGGACCCCUAAAGGGAAUUGAGGACGCAGAGCCCGGCGGUGCCUCGUCAUUCCUCAUCCCUCAUCCUGACGGGUGCCGCCUCCUCUCAGGAUCACCGAGUGCUUUACAAACAGCAUCAAUAUUUAACCAUCAUUAAAGCAGCGCUCAGGAUGCUCCUGGGUUGAGUUAACUCCACAGCCCAGCCUGGCUGCUGGCUCCAUGGACCGGGAAUGGGCAGGGAUGCAGCAGCCGCAGUGAUGCUCCUAUGCAGGCUCCUCCAGGGACUGUUCUGGCUGCUCCUGGUGUGCUUCCAGCAGCAAAUCCCCUGGGCACAGCCCGAAGCUGCCCCCUUGGCAGGGCUGGAGGGUGGAAAGCCCCCCAGAAUAAGGUGGGUUAAUCCCUGGUGCUGUGGCUACAGUCACAUCCACGGUGUGGAGCAGGGAUGCGGUGCUGAGCGCAAGGUACCACAUCCCUCUCCAUCCCCUUUCCCAGGGGAAAAGAGGCUGGGACCAGUUUGCUCUCUCCCAA